ACCACCUACCAUCUUCUCCCCUUAAAAGUUAUGGCCCCUUCACCCUCUCACUUCAUCAUCUUCAACCUCCUUCUUCUUCCAUAAUUCUGUCAAGAACUCAUCAAUUUCUUAAAGGAAAAUCCUUUAUAAGUUAGCUCUUCGAUUUUUGGUAAGUCCUUUCGUGAUCUACUAGUGAUUCUACAUACUUCUAUACAAGUUUCAAUCCAUUUACACACAUUUCAUAUUUUACUAUUCAUAGAAUCUUCAAAAUUUCAAAGUGUUCUUGACUUGAACUUUCCAUCACCAACCUUCCUUCAUUAAGCAAAACACCCAAAGGUGAGUUCAUACCCCUCAUUUUUUAUUCAUAGAAACGUUGUGGUCUAUUCACGAGCUGUUUUACCCUUAUUAAACUUAAUAUAUUUCAAACAAUACAAUAUUAAAAUAGCUCAGGUCUAUACCUUUUUAAGGACUACUUGUACAUGUUCAUAUGAUUUUUCUACAAUUUAUGGUGAUUUUUACAAAAUUGCUUAUCAUUUCAGAAUAUUUUUGUACCAGUCUGUGAAAAUGAACAUUGUUACUCUGGUUAGGAACCACUUAAGAUCAGAGUAAAAAUUAUGGACAAAGUAGACUCAUUUUCUUAGCUCUAAGAGUUUACGGAUCCAAAUUUCGACUUACGAUGAUUUUUCUAUAAUUUUUCUAAAAACAUGGACAGAAAAGUCAAAAACUAGAAAAAUGGACAUUUUCAUACUAAAGACUCACUUAUUUGUGGUUGAUAUAAAAUAAUUAUUAUUUAUGAAUAUCUAAGCCU
This 787-nucleotide long non-coding RNA is filed under the name Lactuca sativa (garden lettuce). RNAcentral describes it as "long non-coding RNA (LSAT_LNC002829)". The record is from RNAcentral. Lineage: Eukaryota; Viridiplantae; Streptophyta; Magnoliopsida; Asterales; Asteraceae.